ACCUGUAGAGGAAUGAACGGUGGUCACAAUGGUGAAAAAAUUACAUCGAACGGGAAUCAAGAAGGGCCUCGUCGGAGGCAAAAAUUGAGAAAAUCCGCGGCAGCGCCGCUGGGAUUCAGCGGCAUUUUUCGGCCAAUUGGCCGGUGCUUUGGCUCCGAUUUGGCCACAGGUGGGUUUAGAAUCGAAUUCCGAGCUAAGGGGAGAAUUUUUACCUCGUUUGGUGGCCGAAAAGUGCUCCAGUGCGGCAGCGGGUGGCGGCAGUUAGUUCUCCGGUGGCUGGGCUGUCUUUUCCAGCGAGGGCUCUGGCGACUAGGGUUAGGGUUUGGAUGUGAUGAGAUUAUUUAUAACCUUCCGCUUUUAAUCUGAGCCGUCCAUCGUGAU
RNAcentral lists this long non-coding RNA (381 nucleotides) under Carica papaya (papaya). RNAcentral's name for it is "long non-coding RNA (CPAP_LNC007825)". Lineage: Eukaryota; Viridiplantae; Streptophyta; Magnoliopsida; Brassicales; Caricaceae. The record is from RNAcentral.